UCUCCGUUGGUGAACCAGCGGUGGGAUCAUUACUGAGUGAGGGCCUUCGGGCUCGACCUCCAACCCUUUUGUGAACCACCUCGUUGCUUCGGGGGCGACCCUGCCGUUCGCGGCGUGGGACCCCCGGAGCCCAUCAAACCCUGCGUAACUAAGUCGUCGGAGUUUAAACAAAUUAAACAAAACUUUCAACGACGGAUCUCUUGGUUCGGGCAUCGAUGAAGAACGCAGC
This 229-nucleotide unclassified non-coding RNA is filed under the name uncultured fungus. RNAcentral describes it as "sequence contains ITS1, 5.8S rRNA gene". The stretch from base 181 to 229 matches the Rfam family "5.8S ribosomal RNA", at positions 1 to 49 of the family's 154-position model. Lineage: Eukaryota; Fungi. The record is from RNAcentral.